This 489-nucleotide ribosomal RNA is filed under the name uncultured bacterium. RNAcentral describes it as "partial 16S ribosomal RNA". It matches the Rfam family "Bacterial small subunit ribosomal RNA", at positions 28 to 507 of the family's 1533-position model. The record is from RNAcentral.
GAUGAACGCUAGCUACAGGCUUAACACAUGCAAGUCGAGGGGCAGCAUGAACUUAGCUUGCUAAGUUUGAUGGCGACCGGCGCACGGGUGAGUAACACGUAUCCAACCUGCCGAUGACUCGGGGAUAGCCUUUCGAAAGAAAGAUUAAUACCCGAUGGCAUAGUUCUUCCGCAUGGUAGAACUAUUAAAGAAUUUCGGUCAUCGAUGGGGAUGCGUUCCAUUAGGUUGUUGGCGGGGUAACGGCCCACCAAGCCUUCGAUGGAUAGGGGUUCUGAGAGGAAGGUCCCCCACAUUGGAACUGAGACACGGUCCAAACUCCUACGGGAGGCAGCAGUGAGGAAUAUUGGUCAAUGGACGAGAGUCUGAACCAGCCAAGUAGCGUGAAGGAUGACUGCCCUAUGGGUUGUAAACUUCUUUUAUACGGGAAUAAAGUGAGGCACGUGUGCCUUUUUGUAUGUACCGCAUGAAUAAGGAUCGGCUAACUCCGUG